CCUCAGGUAACUGUGUUUGCAGCCAUGGCGGCGUCACUUUGUUGCCUGAUUUUCAUUCACAGAUCUGAGUCUCGCCUUUGAUUCGAUAACAUUUGGGCACGGUUUGGAUUUUGAAAAUGAUAAUAAUGUAGUGUUUAUAAGUGUGUCUAGUGAGGUCAAACGUGUGCUCGACUGGAAUUUUCCCUAUAAAUAUGAGAAAAUCCUCCGAGUGAGAACAUGGUGAACUCGAUUCUCACUUAAGUUAUCUUUGAGUAAAGUUGAAUAGCUUAGGUUGUGGAUGGUUUGAACCCAUAGACCUCGCCUUAAGUUAAAUUUCCAUUAAACCGUUUCUUGGUGGGGCAACCCAGAGGCCCGCGGAGAGACAUUUCUCUCUCAGAUAACUUGUUUGCAGCCAUGGCGGUGUCACUUUGUUGCCUGAUUCCUAUGAUUCGGUAACAUUUGGGCACGGUUUGGAUUUUGAAAUUGCUAAUUAGGCAGUGUGUACAAGUGUCCAGUGAGAUCAAACAUGUGCGCGACUGGAAUUUCUCCUUUAAAUUUGAGGAAAUGAAUUUGAGAGUACGAGGCUAAUAAGUGGUGAGAAGGGAUGUUUCUAUAAUUAGAUGGGGUUGAUCAUCCCUUAAUGAUCAGGUCAUCAAAGCCGAUGAUUUCGAAUAAACAAAAUCGACAGCCCUUUUUCUUCUUGAUAACUCAGGAUGUUCAGGUCACUAUCAGGCACCUUGACUAUUGCCUUGGGACCGAGCCUACUGUCCACUAGUGGGGGUCCCAAAUAAAGCCUUGGUAGGAUUCCUUUUUUUGUGUGGACAGUGGAGGUACAUAUCUAUGUGUGUGUUUGUGGUUGGACAUUGGUUUAUGACUAAGGGCCGUUUAUUUCGUCUUACUUAUUAGAAUUUUUUUUUUUUUUUAUCCUCUUAUUAGAUUGUUCACUACUCUUUUUACCUUUUGUACUCUUUUUUGUAUCCAUCCAUCCAUUUGAAAAUAGCGACUCACUACCCUAUUUGAUUAUUCCCUCUUUCUUCCCUUUUAUGCUGUUGUUGAGAGGGUCUUGAUUCAUUGAUAUGUACCUGAACCAUGAGUAUGGAUAAUUUCCUCAAUUAUAAGAGGUUGCAAUGUUAUUAUUCUCAGUUCAUAUGUUGAGAAGAUGGACCCAUUUCGUGGCAGGGCAACUGAUGUUGCAGCUAUGGUGGGAAAACCCUUACCUUCUAUGAUAAAAAUACAGAUCCAAGCCUGACCUUUUCCAUCAACUUGUUGACGCAUUUCAUGGGAGCUUGUGAUUCUGAGGCGAUGAUAGAAUAUAAUUUGCAUAUAAAAGCUCCUCAAACAACUCUGGAAAACUGUUUUGGAUCGAUGUCAUAGAUUUUGGGGUUUACAGAUUUUGAGGUUGGUUCUGAUUCUGAUCGAUUAGUUAUUUGGGGAAGACUGACGUGUAUAUUCUUGGGACAAGUACAUUAAAGCCUUUGCAUUUGAUCCGUAUCUCAAAUUAAACCCAGUGUCAACUCCCAAAGAGAAGGAGAGAGAGAAGUGUACUUGUUUUUAUCGUUGCUGGAGAAGUGUACCUGUUCGAUUUGGGAUUUGAGGUGCUUCAGAAACUAAACUCAGAAAAUGACGCUAAUAAACAGAGAGGAGGAUUGUUUCUGAGGGUGGUUGCCCCUCUCCGUCAAAAAAGAUGAUCUUGAUCCCUUGAUCAGAUCAUCAAACCUAUGAUUUUAGUUCCAUCCAUAAAAUCAACAGCCCUUCAGUUCCAUUUAAGGGUGCAUGCGUUUGUCAUUUCCUAUUCUUUUUUCAUUGCUGCUGCUGCUGCUGCUGCUGCUAAUGAUGAUAUAUCAAUAUAUAGAUAGACAGAUAGAGAGAGUAGUUCGAGAAAUUGAACUCAAAGAAUGAGGCUCCAGUGGUGAGAAGGGAUGUUUCUAAGAGUGGUUGCUCCUCACUGUAAUUUGAUGAUCAUUAUCCCUUAAUCAGAUCACCAAAGCCUGUGAUUUUAUUCGGAAAACAGCACUUUGCGUAUUUGUACACAUACAUGUUGAGUGUGCAUAAGCAAUUUGACGGAGGGAGUAUGUUGGCUGUGAUGAUAUAUAUCUCCAGUUCAUGUGUUGAGGAAUUGAAACCCAGUUUUUGGCAAGGUAAACGCGGAGGGCCUGUGAGGAGACCGGAGAACUGAUGGCCUCUCUCAAUUGCAGCAACCGUUGUUGCAGCCAUGGUGGGAACAUGCUUUCCUCUUCUCCUAUUGAAAUACAGAUUUGAGCCUCACCUUUUCUCGUCACUUGUGUGUGUGAUCAUUAUCCCUUAAUCAGAUCACCAAAGCCUAUGAUUUUGUUAAAGCAUCCAACUCAAAACCAAUUGGCAAUGAGUGGAGAGGCCGCCCAGGCUCAUAUACUAGUUUUGGAGGAGAUAAAUAACCGAUGUGGGACAAUUUCCAACAGAUUUCAUUCGAAAAACAGCCCUUUGUGUGUUUGUACGCAUAUAUGGGGAGCAUGGACAAACAAUUGGUGACAGAGGGAGUAUAUUUUUACGUAGUAUAGGAGAGGCUGUGAUGAUAGAUCUCUCGAGGUCGUGUUGAGGAAUUGGAAUCCAUUUUCUUGGCGAGGCAAACACAGUGGGCCUAUGGGAGAGAAUUGAUGGUUCUCUCUUCAAGUGGGGCAACUGUUGUUGCAGCCAUGGCGGGAACAUGAUUUCCUCUUCUAUCAAAAUACAGAUCUGAGCCUCAAUUUUCCCUUCUCACUUACGUGUGUGUGUGUGGUAUUAAAGCCACAAGGCACAUAAGGUAUGUUUUGUUGGUUGGUUCAGCAUGAUAUUAAAUGCUUUUGAACACUCCAUUGGAACAAGAGGGUAGAGGAUUACUUUCUAACUGUUAGUUAAGCUGCAUCAAACACCCACUGGAACAGAUUGCACUAAAGAAAGCAAAGAGGCUGUGAUGAUAGCUUUCUUAGCUUAUUUCAGGAUUUGAGAACCCGAUCUGCUUCUUGGUGGGGUGAUCCGGGGGAUUUGUGGGAUAGAUCUGUUUGGUUUUACUUUCAGACUUUCACUGGCAACUCUGGUUGCAGCCACGAAGUUUGUCAUAUCUCACCUGAUCUUUGGCAAAUCUGAGCCUCAACCUUUCUUGCAAUAGUAAAUGUGUAUGCAUUUGUAUGUAGUUGAUUGACUGUAGGAAAUCUGGGUUUAAUCGCAUCUUGGGAUUUAUAUUUAAUAUGAUGGUUUUUAUCUUGCAGGACCAAGUUUGAGUUGGAGGUGUAACGAUGAUUCACAUGCCAUUGAAAGUUGCUUUGUCUUGUGAUUCGUAAGGAGUUGACGUGUGUGCUUGAACCAGAGAAGACCCUAACGUAUGGGGGAAUUUUAGAGGCAAAAUGAUAACUAAAAUGAAGAAAAGGAGCCCAAGUGUGAUGACAAGUGACAACAAGGGGGACCCCAUUGUGUGGAGCAAUUCGAGGGCAAAAAGGAUGACAAAUAAACAAGUGGAAUCCAGCAACUUAGCCUCCGGUGGACUAUUGGUGGCUCUUGCUGAAGAAUCGAGCGUUUGCUCACUUGGGCUUAUCUGUUCAAUUCACAGUUGCAGAUUUUUCUUGAACUGAGAGAUGAUGCUGGUUAGAGAACUAGUUCCAUUGGUUUUGCCAUUCCUUAAAGAGAUGCACCCUCGUAUCAUCUCUCUCUCUCUCUCUCUCUCUCUCUCUCUCUCUCUCUCUCAGCAUCGCAGAAGAAUUCUGUAUCAACCUGAUUUGCUAGCUAAUUAAUGUGCAAUUAACAGGCAUUUUCUCUU
Molecule: RNA transcript, 3748 nt
Organism: Rhododendron vialii
Lineage: Eukaryota; Viridiplantae; Streptophyta; Magnoliopsida; Ericales; Ericaceae
Exons: 4
Source: RefSeq, a predicted model, not a curated record